UACGGAGGGUGCAAGCGUUGUUCGGAAUUACUGGGCGUAAAGCGCGCGUAGGCGGCUCUUUAAGUCUCACUGUGAAAGACCGGGGCUCAACCCCGUGCGAGCAGGGGAUACUGGAGGGCUGGAGACCGGUAGAGGCCAGCGGAAUUUCGGGUGUAGCGGUGGAAUGCGUAGAUAUCCGAAAGAACACCGGAGGCGAAGGCGGCUGGCUGGGCCGGGUCUGACGCUGAGACGCGAAAGCGUGGGGAGCAAACAGG
RNAcentral lists this ribosomal RNA (254 nucleotides) under uncultured bacterium. Its description in RNAcentral is "partial 16S ribosomal RNA". It matches the Rfam family "Bacterial small subunit ribosomal RNA", at positions 524 to 776 of the family's 1533-position model. The record is from RNAcentral.